GGCGGACGGGUGAGUACGCGUAAUAACCUGCAUACCACAGGAUAGCAUCGGGAACGGUGAUAUACUUGAUGAAGCUACCAUCGCAUGAUGAGUAGUUCACGAAUUUGGUGUAUGAUGGAUUGCGGUUGAUUAGCUAGUUUGGUAGGGUAAAGGCUUACCAAGGCGAUGAUCAUUAGCCGGCCUGAGAUGGUGAACGGGCCACACUGGAAACUGAGACACGUGUCCAGACUCCUACGGGAGGCAGCAGUGGGGAAUAUUGCACAAUGGAUGGAACUCUGAUGCAGCAACGCCGCGUGAACGAAGAAUGCUUUCGAGUCGUAAAGUUUCUGUUAUAGGGGAAGAAGCAGUGACGGUACCCUAUGAGAAAGCCACGGCUAAUUACGUGCCAGCAGCCGCGGUAAUACGUAAGUGGCAAGCGGUUAUCCGGAAUUACUGGGCAUAAAGCGUUCGUAGGCGGUUAAACAAGCCAAUAGUGAAAUCCACCAGCCUAACUGGUGUCAGCUAAUGGCAACUGUAUAACUUGAGUACAGGAGAGGAAAGUGGACUUCCUAGUGUAAUAGUGAAAUGCGUAAAUAUUAGGAAGACCAUCAUUAGCGAAGGCGACUUUCU
Molecule: ribosomal RNA, 609 nt
Filed under: uncultured organism
Description: bacterial SSU rRNA
Rfam family: Bacterial small subunit ribosomal RNA
Source: RNAcentral